Molecule: transfer RNA, 71 nt
Filed under: bovine gut metagenome
Rfam family: tRNA
About the family: Transfer RNA (tRNA) molecules are approximately 80 nucleotides in length.
Source: RNAcentral
GGGAAUUAGCUCAGUUGGGAGAGCACCUGCUUUGCAAGCAGGGGGUCAGGGGUUCGAAUCCCCUAUUCUCC